AAAUGGACCUCGGAGGAAUUUGAACUCAUAGGAAGAAAAAACCUGUCUUGGAAUAAACUCAAAGACAUCCAUUAGACCUCGCUCUGAUUGCAGAAGAUUAAGGGUUAAGAUUUUAAAAGAUACAAAUGCAAAUAGUUAAACAAGGAUAACAUUUAUACUUCUGAUACUGACAAUCCAUAAAUGCUAUUAAAAUGUCAACUAGAUUAUAG
Octopus sinensis (East Asian common octopus) is the source of this 209-nucleotide long non-coding RNA. RefSeq lists it as uncharacterized. The record is from RefSeq and is a predicted model, not a curated record. The transcript is spliced from 2 exons. Lineage: Eukaryota; Metazoa; Mollusca; Cephalopoda; Octopoda; Octopodidae.